GCCUUCGUGGUGUAAUGGUCAGCACACUCGAUGUGUAUUCGAGAAGUCCUUGGUUCAAGUCCCGGAGGGGGCA
This 73-nucleotide transfer RNA is filed under the name Stegodyphus mimosarum. It matches the Rfam family "tRNA". Rfam says of the family: Transfer RNA (tRNA) molecules are approximately 80 nucleotides in length. Their secondary structure includes four short double-helical elements and three loops (D, anti-codon, and T loops). Lineage: Eukaryota; Metazoa; Arthropoda; Arachnida; Araneae; Eresidae. The record is from Rfam by way of RNAcentral.